RNAcentral lists this unclassified non-coding RNA (253 nucleotides) under plant metagenome. RNAcentral describes it as "partial contains small subunit ribosomal RNA, internal transcribed spacer 1, and 5.8S ribosomal RNA". The record is from RNAcentral.
UUUCCGUAGGUGAACCUGCGGAAGGAUCAUUAAAGAGUAAGGGUCUUCUAGGCCCGACCUCCCAACCCUUUGUUUACCAAACCAUUGUUGCUUCGACGGGCCCGUCCCAGGACCGCCGGAGGACCGUCAAACGUCCUCUGGCCCGCGCCCGUCGAUGGCCCCUAUCAUUAAACUCUGAACCAAACGUGUCCUGUCUGAGUGAUUAUUAUCAAAAAUUAAAGCAAAACUUUCAACAACGGAUCUCUUGGUUCUG